This 492-nucleotide ribosomal RNA is filed under the name uncultured bacterium. RNAcentral's name for it is "partial 16S ribosomal RNA". It matches the Rfam family "Bacterial small subunit ribosomal RNA", at positions 29 to 507 of the family's 1533-position model. The record is from RNAcentral.
AGUGAACGCUGGCGGUAGGCCUAACACAUGCAAGUCGAACGGCAGCACAGUAAGAGCUUGCUCUUACGGGUGGCGAGUGGCGGACGGGUGAGGAAUACAUCGGAAUCUACUUUUUCGUGGGGGAUAACGUAGGGAAACUUACGCUAAUACCGCAUACGACCUACGGGUGAAAGCAGGGGAUCUUCGGACCUUGCGCGACUGAAUGAGCCGAUGUCGGAUUAGCUAGUUGGCGGGGUAAAGGCCCACCAAGGCGACGAUCCGUAGCUGGUCUGAGAGGAUGAUCAGCCACACUGGAACUGAGACACGGUCCAGACUCCUACGGGAGGCAGCAGUGGGGAAUAUUGGACAAUGGGCGCAAGCCUGAUCCAGCCAUACCGCGUGGGUGAAGAAGGCCUUCGGGUUGUAAAGCGCUUUUGUUGGGAAAGAAAAGCAGCAGGUUAAUACCCCGCUGUUCUGACGGUACCCAAAGAAUAAGCACCGGCUAACUUCGUG